RNAcentral lists this ribosomal RNA (203 nucleotides) under uncultured bacterium. RNAcentral describes it as "partial 16S ribosomal RNA". It matches the Rfam family "Bacterial small subunit ribosomal RNA", at positions 1289 to 1500 of the family's 1533-position model. The record is from RNAcentral.
CAGUUCAGAUUGUAGGCUGCAACUCGCCUACAUGAAGUCGGAAUUGCUAGUAAUCGCGGAUCAGCAUGCCGCGGUGAAUACGUUCCCGGGCCUUGUACACACCGCCCGUCAAGCCAUGGGAGCCGGGGGCGCCCGAAGUCCGGGACCGCGAGGACCGGCCUAGGGCGAAACUGGUAACUGGGGCUAAGUCGUAACAAGGUAAC